AUACAGAGGGUGCGAGCGUUAAUCGGAAUUACUGGGCGUAAAGCGCGCGUAGGCGGCUUAUUAAGUCAGACGUGAAAUCCCCGGGCUCAACCUGGGAACUGCAUCUGAUACUGGUAAGCUAGAGUUUUGGAGAGGGAGGUAGAAUUUCAGGUGUAGCGGUGAAAUGCAUAGAGAUCUGAAGGAAUACCAGUGGCGAAGGCGACUUCCUGGCCAAAAACUGACGCUGAGGUGCGAAAGCGUGGGUAGCAAACGGGAUUAGAAACCCCAGUAGUCC
RNAcentral lists this ribosomal RNA (274 nucleotides) under uncultured bacterium. RNAcentral's name for it is "partial 16S ribosomal RNA". It matches the Rfam family "Bacterial small subunit ribosomal RNA", at positions 523 to 796 of the family's 1533-position model. The record is from RNAcentral.